Molecule: ribosomal RNA, 497 nt
Filed under: uncultured bacterium
Lineage: Bacteria
Description: partial 16S ribosomal RNA
Rfam family: Bacterial small subunit ribosomal RNA
Source: RNAcentral
GAUGAACGCUGGCGGCGUGCUUAACACAUGCAAGUCGAGCGAACAGACGAGGAGCUUGCUCCUUUGACGUUAGCGGCGGACGGGUGUGUAACACGUGGAUCACCUCCCUAUAAGACUGGGAUAACUUCGGGACACCGGCGCUAAUCCCGGAUAAUCUCUUGAACCGCAUUGUUCAUUCGUGAAAGACGGUUUUGCUGUCACUUCUCGCUGGAUCCGCGCCGCAUUAGCUAGUUGUUAGGGUCACGGCUUACCAAGGCGACGAUGCGUAGCCGACCUGAGAGGGGGGUCGGCCACACUGGAACUGAGACACGGUCCAGACUCCUACGGGAGGCAGCAGAAGGGAAUCUUCCGCAAUGGGCGAAAGCAUGACGGAGCAACGCCGCGUGAGUGAUGAAGGUCUUCGGAUCGUAAAGCUCGGUUAUGGGGGAAGAACAGAUGUGGAAGUAACUGUGGACGGCUUGACGGUACCGGAUCAAGAAGCAACGGCUAACUACGUG